This is a non-coding RNA of Chrysemys picta bellii (western painted turtle), 677 nucleotides long. The record is from RefSeq and is a predicted model, not a curated record. Lineage: Eukaryota; Metazoa; Chordata; Testudines; Emydidae.
AAGACUUCAGUAGAAGCUGAGCCAUGUGGCCCCCAAGGGAUUUUCUUGGAGACUGAUAUAGCAAACGCUGGGGGUUGGGGCAUUGAUUGGUGGAGCCGUGUGUGUCUGCAUGUGCAAAAGGAGCAGAAACGGACAGAAGUACACAGAGAAGGAGCAGAGAAGCCCUGGUAGUGUGACCUUGAGAAAAAAAGCUAAAAAAGAGAUCAUUUUGGGUACAAUGCUGUCUGAAGGGGGCUUGGAACUGUGAGCAAAGAAACUAUAUCUCCUGUUAGCUUCCUACUGUGUUCAGGGAAAGAGGACUUUGUACAUUCUGUCAAAAUAAACAGGAUUGCAGCAAAGAAAUACCAGACUCCAUCAUCAAUUUCUCCUCCUAAUGGAAACAGCCUGCUAGACCCUGAAAAUUGGCUAACCACUCAGGUCAAAAAGAGGUCUAUCUGCUCACGCUGUUGCAUGACUGGGAGGCGAUUAAGAUGGAUGGAUGGGAUAACAGAUACCCCUUUAUGAAGAAGCAGCAUAUUUUAGUGUACUUAGAGAAAUACAGAGAAGUAUAUUGUCCCUAUAUAUUUCAGCUGCACUUGGAGAAGCUUCUCCUGACACUGGCUGCAGGUGACAUGAGUAAAUAACGCAGUUAACAUAAGUGCUGCAAUGCUGCAUUACAUCAAUCGUAUUGUUGUACU